GCCAGGCCACCCUAUCAUCUGAAGCCCUUGUCAGGGAAUCCUUAGAUUCCUCCAUAGAUUCAAUGGGUCAAGACCUCUAACAGACUCCUCUCUCCACUAUCCCUGGUCACUUCUAUCAAGAACAUCAGCAUAAGCCUUAUGGGCUUCUUCAGGACUGUACCCUGACUAUGAACUACCAAUGCCAUCAAGUUGCAGAUGCAACUAUACUAUCCUGACUUCCCUGGGCAGAUGACCUCACCAAUGUGUCCUGGAACUUUACCUCUCCAGAGACUAACCUCGCCAGGGGAAGACAGAAACAGGCUGGGGGUAUGGAUCUACCUGGUCAUCUUCCCCUAACAUUUACCCCACUGGGAGUAGGGACCAAAAUUCUUUAUGGGAUGCAGAAGGUGGAAA
Long non-coding RNA from Erinaceus europaeus (western European hedgehog), 393 nucleotides. RefSeq lists it as uncharacterized. NCBI's taxonomy places the organism in Eukaryota, Metazoa, Chordata, Mammalia, Eulipotyphla, Erinaceidae. The transcript is spliced from 2 exons. The record is from RefSeq and is a predicted model, not a curated record.